Molecule: long non-coding RNA, 686 nt
Filed under: Nicotiana benthamiana
Lineage: Eukaryota; Viridiplantae; Streptophyta; Magnoliopsida; Solanales; Solanaceae
Description: long non-coding RNA (NBEN_LNC035784)
Source: RNAcentral
UUCCAAUCGACCCUCGGCUCAGUGAAAUAACUAAUUAUUACCGAUAACAAAUAACUAAAAGUAAAUUGAAAAUGAAAAAGAAGAGAAAAAUUUAAUUACCGAAUAACCUCAGCUAAUAUAAUAAGGCCCAAAAACUAAAUUAAAAUAUAAUACUCCACUGGUGUUCAAAUAAAAUUGAUACAAGAGGAAACCGAUAAAAGAUAAGAAGAGAGAAGAACAAAUCAAGGCACUUGACAAAGUGGCAUGAAACCCAGCUCCGGUGUCCAUUCCCGGAGCCGGUGCCGGAGCAAAAUCGCCUUCUUGGGCUGUGGUUUUAGUAGCUACUAAAUAAAUCAGAGUGAAAAUGGUGAACAAGGUAAGUCUCAAGAUUUUUAAUGUUGCCAUUUUCGGAGCAAAAUCGCCUUCUUGAGCUGUGGUUUUAGUAGCUACUAAAUAAAUCAGAGUGAAAAUGGUGAACAAGGUAAGUCUCAAGAUUUUUAAUGUUGCCAUUUUCCUCUGAUUUAUGUUGAUAUAAUAAACAGAGAAAUUAAGAAGCAGGAAAUAGAGUUUAGGAGUGAAAGAAUAAAAUUCAGUUCAAUUCCAUUCCUGGAGGCUAAAAGUGGAAUAAAAAUUGUUCAUAUUUUAUUGAUAUAUAGUACAAGUAAGAUCUUUGAAUCAUUUAUGAGUUAUGCUUGUGUCCAUGCUCC